UACAGAGGUGGCAAGCGUUGUUCGGAAUUACUGGGCGUAAAGCGCGUGUAGGCUGCCCUGCAAGUCGGAUGUGAAAGCCCUGGGCUCAACCUAGGAAGUGCACUCGAAACUGCAGGGCUGGAGUCCUGGAGAGGAAGGCGGAAUUCUCGGUGUAGAGGUGAAAUUCGUAGAUAUCGAGAGGAACACCGGUGGCGAAGGCGGCCUUCUGGACAGUGACUGACGCUGAGACGCGAAAGCGUGGGGAGCAAACAGG
Molecule: ribosomal RNA, 253 nt
Filed under: uncultured bacterium
Lineage: Bacteria
Description: partial 16S ribosomal RNA
Rfam family: Bacterial small subunit ribosomal RNA
Source: RNAcentral